RNAcentral lists this non-coding RNA (44 nucleotides) under Trichobilharzia regenti. Lineage: Eukaryota; Metazoa; Platyhelminthes; Trematoda; Strigeidida; Schistosomatidae. The record is from RNAcentral.
CUCAGCUGACGAGUCCCAAACAGGACGAAGUGCACAUCCUAGAU